This 2333-nucleotide ribosomal RNA is filed under the name human gut metagenome. RNAcentral describes it as "bacterial LSU rRNA". It matches the Rfam family "Bacterial large subunit ribosomal RNA", at positions 496 to 2814 of the family's 2925-position model. The record is from RNAcentral.
CAGUACCGUGAGGGAAAGGUGAAAAGCACCCCGGGAGGGGAGUGAAACAGUACCUGAAACCGUGCGCCCACGAGCAGUCGGAGCAACUUUAUGUUGUGACGGCGUGCCUUUUGUAGAAUGAGCCAGCGAGUCGCUGGCGCGGGGCGAGGUUAACCGAAAGGGAGCCGGAGCGAAAGCGAGCCUUAACAGGGCGACUUGAGUCCCGCGCCGCGGACGCGAAGCCGGGUGAGCUAUCCGUGGGCAGGCUGAAGCGGGGGUAAGACCCCGUGGAGGGCCGAACGCACGUCGGUUGAAAACGGCGGCGAUGACCUGCGGAUAGGGGUGAAAGGCCAAUCAAACCCGGAGAUAUCUCGUUCUCCCCGAAAUAGCUUUAGGGCUAGCGUCGCGCGUUCACCGCCGGAGGUAGAGCACCGGAUGGACGAGGGGGCUUCGCCGCCUACCGAAUCCAACCGAACUCCGAAUGCCGGCGGCCCAGAGCGCGGCAGUCAGAGCAUGUGGGCUAAGCUGUGUGCUCGAGAGGGAAACAGCCCGGACCGCCCGCUAAGGUCCCCAAGUUCCAGCCGAGUGGCAAAGGAUGUGCGUCCGCCCAGACAACCAGGAUGUUGGCUUAGAAGCAGCCAUCCAUUCAAAGAGUGCGUAACAGCUCACUGGUCGAGUGGACAUGCGCCGACAAUACACGGGGCUAAGCUGGACACCGAAGCGGCGGGAUUUUAAUUCAUUAGAAUCGGUAGGGGAGCUUCCCAUGGGCGGAGAAGCCGGAGGGCGACCGACGGUGGAGCGCAUGGGAGUGAGAAUGCUGGCAUGAGUAGCGAGAGACGAGAGAGUAACUCGUCCGCCGUGAACCCGAGGUUUCCUGGGCAAGGCUAAUCCUCCCAGGGUCAGUCGGGGGCUAAGGCGAGGCCGGUAGGCGUAGCCGACGCGCAGCAGGCAGACAUUCCUGCACCGCGCACGCGGCGCUACGACCGACGGGGCGACGGAUGGGGGUGGCUCGGCGGGGUUCUGGACGUCCCCGUGAUGGAGCGCGGCCCGGAGACCAGGCAAAUCCGGUCUCCACGAGGGCGAGGCUCCGGACGAAGCGAUCGAGCGAAGCGAGUGAGCCCGAGGUCCCUAGAAAAACCCCUAGGCAGGCGCGUGCGCGCCCGUACCGCAAACCGACACAGGUGGGUGGGUAGAACAUACCGAGGCGAUCGGGUCAACCAUGGUCAAGGAACUCGGCACAAUGGCCCCGUAACUUCGGGAGAAGGGGUGCCCGCGCGUACGUGAACCGGCUCGCCCGGGGAGCGGAGGCGGGCCGCAGUGGAGAGGCCCAAGCGACUGUUUACCAAAAACACAGGACUCUGCAGAAGCCGCAAGGCGACGUAUAGGGUCUGACGCCUGCCCGGUGCCGGAAGGUCACGCGGAGGAGUUAGCGCAUCGCGCGAAGCCCCGAAGCCAAGCCCCGGUAAACGGCGGCCGUAACUAUAACGGUCCUAAGGUAGCGAAAUUCCUUGUCGGGUAAGUUCCGACCUGCACGAAAGGCGCAACGACUUGGGCGCUGUCUCGACCAUGGACCCGGUGAAAUUGCACUGGUCGUGAAGAUGCGACUUACCCGCGGAAGGACGGAAAGACCCCGUGAACCUUCACUGCAGCUUGGCAUUGGCCGCUGGUCCCGCGUGUAGAGGAUAGGCAGGAGGCACAGAUCCGGAGGCGCCAGCCCCCGGGGAGCCGCCCUUGGAAUACUGCCCUCGCGCGACCGGCGUCCUAACCCGAGGCCGUCAACCGGCUCGGGGACCGUGCCAGGCGGGCAGUUUGACUGGGGCGGUCGCCUCCUAAAGGGUAACGGAGGCGCGCGAAGGUCCGCUCGGGACGGUCGGCAACCGUCCUUUUGAAUGCAAGAGUACAAGCGGGCUUGACUGCGAGGCCCACAAGCCGAGCAGGUGCGAAAGCAGGCUCUAGUGAUCCGGCGGCCCCGAGUGGGUGGGCCGUCGCUCAACGGAUAAAAGGUACUCCGGGGAUAACAGGCUGAUCUUGCCCAAGAGUCCACAUCGACGGCAAGGUUUGGCACCUCGAUGUCGGCUCAUCGCAUCCUGGGGCUGGAGCAGGUCCCAAGGGUACGGCUGUUCGCCGUUUAAAGCGGUACGCGAGCUGGGUUCAGAACGUCGUGAGACAGUUCGGUCCCUAUCCUCCGUGGGCGCAGGAGAACUGAGGAGGUCUACCCCUAGUACGAGAGGACCGGGGCGGACGGGCCUCUGGUGUCCCGGUUGUCGACCAACGGCACGGCCGGCUAGCCACGCCCGGAACGGAUAACCGCUGAAAGCAUCUAAGCGGGAAACCAGCUUCAAGAUAAGUAUUCU